Molecule: ribosomal RNA, 460 nt
Filed under: uncultured archaeon
Lineage: Archaea
Description: bacterial SSU rRNA
Rfam family: Archaeal small subunit ribosomal RNA
Source: RNAcentral
CACAAGGGGUGAAGCCUGCGNCGUUCAAUUGGAGUCAACGCCAGGAAACUUACCAGGAGAGACAGCAGGUUGAGGGUCAGACUGAAGAUCUUACCUGACGAGCUGAGAGGAGGUGCAUGGCCGUCGUCAGCUCGUGCCGUGAGGCGUCCUGUUAAGUCAGGCAACGAGCGAGACCCCUAUUGGUAAUUGCUAUCUACUAUCGCAAGAUUGGAGAGGCUAGUUACCGAGACUGCCGCCGAUAAGGCGGAGGAAGGCGGGGGCCACGGCAGGUCAGUAUGCCCCGGAACUCCUGGGCCACACGCGGGCUGCAAUGGUAGGGACAAUGGGUUCCGACCUCGAAAGAGGGAGGCAAUCCUCAAACCCUACCCCAGUUGUGAUUGAGGGUUGAAACCCGCCCUCAUGAAUAUGGAAUCCCUAGUAACCGCGUGUCAUCACCGCGCGGUGAAUACGUCCCUGCUCC